GUGGGGAAUAUUGGACAAUGGGCGAAAGCCUGAUCCAGCCAUGCCGCGUGUGUGAAGAAGGUCUUCGGAUUGUAAAGCACUUUUGUUGGGAAAGAAAUCCUGUCGGCUAAUACCCGGCGGGGAUGACGGUACCCAAAGAAUAAGCACCGGCUAACUUCGUGCCAGCAGCCGCGGUAAUACGAAGGGUGCAAGCGUUACUCGGAAUUACUGGGCGUAAAGCGUGCGUAGGUGGUUCGUUAAGUCAGAUGUGAAAGCCCCGGGCUCAACCUGGGAAUUGCAUUUGAUACUGGCGGACUAGAGUGCGGUAGAGGAGAGUGGAAUUCCCGGUGUAGCAGUGAAAUGCGUAGAGAUCGGGAGGAACAUCAGUUGCGAAGGCGGCUCUCUGGACCAGCACUGACACUGAGGCACGAAAGCGUGGGGAGCAAACAGGAUUAGAUACCCUGGUAGUCC
This 450-nucleotide ribosomal RNA is filed under the name uncultured bacterium. RNAcentral describes it as "bacterial SSU rRNA". It matches the Rfam family "Bacterial small subunit ribosomal RNA", at positions 354 to 796 of the family's 1533-position model. The record is from RNAcentral.